AUGCUUGCUUCGGUAGCACAUAUACUAAAGUUGGAACAAUAGAGAGAUAGGCAUGGCCUCUGUGCAAGAAUGACAUGCAAAUUUGUGAAGCAUUCCAUAUUUUU
Molecule: small nuclear RNA, 104 nt
Organism: Pan troglodytes (chimpanzee)
Lineage: Eukaryota; Metazoa; Chordata; Mammalia; Primates; Hominidae
Source: Ensembl